Molecule: ribosomal RNA, 841 nt
Filed under: uncultured Micrococcus sp.
Lineage: Bacteria; Bacillati; Actinomycetota; Actinomycetes; Micrococcales; Micrococcaceae
Description: bacterial SSU rRNA
Rfam family: Bacterial small subunit ribosomal RNA
Source: RNAcentral
CUAGUGGCGGGGUGUCUUACAAUGCCAAGUCGAACGAUGAAGCCCAGCUUGCUGGGUGGAUUAGUGGCGAACGGGUGAGUAACACGUGAGUAACCUGCCCUUAACUCUGGGAUAAGCCUGGGAAACUGGGUCUAAUACCGGAUAGGAGCGCCUACCGCAUGGUGGGUGUUGGAAAGAUUUAUCGGUUUUGGAUGGACUCGCGGCCUAUCAGCUUGUUGGUGAGGUAAUGGCUCACCAAGGCGACGACGGGUAGCCGGCCUGAGAGGGUGACCGGCCACACUGGGACUGAGACACGGCCCAGACUCCUACGGGAGGCAGCAGUGGGGAAUAUUGCACAAUGGGCGAAAGCCUGAUGCAGCGACGCCGCGUGAGGGAUGACGGCCUUCGGGUUGUAAACCUCUUUCAGUAGGGAAGAAGCGAAAGUGACGGUACCUGCAGAAGAAGCACCGGCUAACUACGUGCCAGCAGCCGCGGUAAUACGUAGGGUGCGAGCGUUAUCCGGAAUUAUUGGGCGUAAAGAGCUCGUAGGCGGUUUGUCGCGUCUGUCGUGAAAGUCCGGGGCUUAACCCCGGAUCUGCGGUGGGUACGGGCAGACUAGAGUGCAGUAGGGGAGACUGGAAUUCCUGGUGUAGCGGUGGAAUGCGCAGAUAUCAGGAGGAACACCGAUGGCGAAGGCAGGUCUCUGGGCUGUAACUGACGCUGAGGAGCGAAAGCAUGGGGAGCGAACAGGAUUAGAUACCCUGGUAGUCCAUGCCGUAAACGUUGGGCACUAGGUGUGGGGACCAUUCCACGGUUUCCGCGCCGCAGCUAACGCAUUAAGUGCCCCGCCUGGGGAGUACGG